UGGGGAAUAUUGCACAAUGGGGGAAACCCUGAUGCAGCGACGCCGCGUGAACGAAGAAGGUAUUCGUAUCGUAAAGUUCUGUCCUAUGGGAAGAUAAUGACAGUACCAUAGAAGAAAGCUCCGGCUAAAUACGUGCCAGCAGCCGCGGUAAUACGUAUGGAGCGAGCGUUGUCCGGAAUUAUUGGUCGUAAAGGGUACGCAGGCGGUUUAAUAAGUCGAAUGUUAAAGAUCGGGGCUCAACCCCGCAAAGCAUUGGAAACUGAUAAACUUGAGUAGUGGAGAGGAAAGUGGAAUUCCUAGUGUAGUGGUGAAAUACGUAGAUAUUAGGAGGAAUACCAGUAGCGAAGGCGACUUUCUGGACACAAACUGACGCUGAGGUACGAAAGCGUGGGGAGCAAACAGG
Molecule: ribosomal RNA, 403 nt
Filed under: bacterium
Lineage: Bacteria
Description: partial 16S ribosomal RNA
Rfam family: Bacterial small subunit ribosomal RNA
Source: RNAcentral